GGGGUCCCCGACCUCCGAGUUGUAAUUUGGAGAGGCAUCUUCGGGGGGGAGCGCCGGCCCAUGUUCCUUGGGACAGGACGUCACAGAGGGUGAGAAUCCCGUGCCUGGCCGGCUGCCUCCUCCCGGGUGGAGGGCCUUCGACGAGUCGAGUUGUUUGGGAAUGCAGCUCCAAGUGGGUGGUAAAUUUCAUCUAAAGCUAAAUACCGGCGGGAGACCGAUAGCGCACAAGUAGAGUGAUCGAAAGAUGAAAAGCACUUUGAAAAUAGAGUCAAAAAGUACGUGAAAUUGUUGAAAGGGAAGCGCUUGAGACCAGACUCGGGCCUGGGCAAACAUCGCGCCCCUCGGGGCCGUGCAAUUGCCCGGGCCUGGGCCAGCAUCAGUUGGCGUGGCGGGACAAAGGCGCGGGGAAUGUGGCUCCCCUCGGGGAGUGUUAUUAGGCCCGCGCUCAAUGCCGCCGACGCCGACUGAGGACCGCGCCUCGGCUAGGAUGCUGGCUUAAUGGCCUUCAGCGACCCGUCUUGAAACACGGACCAAGGAGUCUAACAUCUAUGCGAGUGUUUGGGCGACAAACCCUUGCGCGGAAUGAAAGUGAGCGGAGGUGGGAACCCCCCCGCGGGGCGC
Molecule: ribosomal RNA, 621 nt
Filed under: Helvella macropus
Lineage: Eukaryota; Fungi; Ascomycota; Pezizomycetes; Pezizales; Helvellaceae
Description: eukaryotic LSU rRNA
Rfam family: Eukaryotic large subunit ribosomal RNA
Source: RNAcentral